This 254-nucleotide ribosomal RNA is filed under the name uncultured bacterium. Its description in RNAcentral is "partial 16S ribosomal RNA". It matches the Rfam family "Bacterial small subunit ribosomal RNA", at positions 524 to 776 of the family's 1533-position model. The record is from RNAcentral.
UACGGGGGGAGCAAGCGUUGUUCGGAUUUACUGGGCGUAAAGGGCGCGUAGGCGGUCAGCACAAGUCAGUUGUGAAAUCUCCGAGCUUAACUCGGAAAGGUCAACUGAAACUGUGCGACUAGAGUGCGGAAGGGGCAACUGGAAUUCUUGGUGUAGCGGUGAAAUGCGUAGAUAUCUGGAGGAACACCGGUGGCGAAGGCGGCAUCCUGGACCGGUAUUGACGCUGAGGAGCGAAAGCCAGGGGAGCAAACGGG